GUUCCAUGCGAAUGGGCCCUGCAGUCGGUCCUGGAAUAAGGGAACAAACUGCACGAAAGCCUCUAGCUAUAGAGGCUAGGGAGGGUUCGCCUGAAUCCCCUCGUUCGGUUCUUUCUAUCUACCGAACAGGGGCCGUUCGGUAGUUAGGAACCGAACGGACCGGGCUCGUGGAGGUUUCAGCUGUGUUCACCUAUUCGAGUGUCCGAUUUGAGUUCCA
Non-coding RNA from Pelobates cultripes (western spadefoot toad), 217 nucleotides. NCBI's taxonomy places the organism in Eukaryota, Metazoa, Chordata, Amphibia, Anura, Pelobatidae. The record is from the annotation of a GenBank genome assembly.